GACGAACGCUGGCGGCGUGCUUAACACAUGCAAGUCGAACGGUGAACGAGGGAGCUUGCUCCCUCCGGAUCAGUGGCGAACGGGUGAGUAACACGUGAGCAAUCUGCCCCGAACUCUGGGAUAAGCGUUGGAAACGACGUCUAAUACCGGAUACGACGCGGGAGGGCAUCCUCUCCGCGUGGAAAGAACUUCGGUUCGGGAUGAGCUCGCGGCCUAUCAGCUUGUUAGUGGGGUAACGGCUCACCAAGGCGACGACGGGUAGCCGGCCUGAGAGGGUGACCGGCCACACUGGGACUGAGACACGGCCCAGACUCCUACGGGAGGCAGCAGUGGGGAAUAUUGCACAAUGGGCGCAAGCCUGAUGCAGCAACGCCGCGUGAGGGACGACGGCCUUCGGGUUGUAAACCUCUUUUAGCAGGGAAGAAGCGAAAGUGACGGUACCUGCAGAAAAAGCACCGGCUAACUACGUG
Molecule: ribosomal RNA, 470 nt
Filed under: uncultured bacterium
Lineage: Bacteria
Description: partial 16S ribosomal RNA
Rfam family: Bacterial small subunit ribosomal RNA
Source: RNAcentral